Molecule: unclassified non-coding RNA, 345 nt
Filed under: Zea mays
Lineage: Eukaryota; Viridiplantae; Streptophyta; Magnoliopsida; Poales; Poaceae
Description: misc RNA Zm00001eb318040
Source: RNAcentral
GAGAUCAACCUCCCAAGCGGUACCAGGAUCCACACUCACAGACAGCAUGCACCAAGAUCCGGCUGGGCCCCCUCACCUGCUUCCUGAACAUGGGCGAGUCAUCGAGCCUGCUGAAAAACAUGGCUGCCUCCGCCAGUCCCGCUGCCGCCGCCGCCACCACCACCACCACCUAUUCACUCCACACGGCCACACUACCUCCUCAAAGACCGCGGCGGCAUCUGGUAGACUCGCUCCGUGGAGACCGCACUCCGCAGCCACCACCUCCACCUCCUCUCCGGAGAACCGCUCCUCCCUCCACCUUCGGCCACCGCGCGCGACACUGGGAACGCGACCCACAGGCACAAC